Molecule: microRNA precursor, 52 nt
Filed under: Marmota monax (woodchuck)
Lineage: Eukaryota; Metazoa; Chordata; Mammalia; Rodentia; Sciuridae
Source: RNAcentral
UUAUUUGUAUAAGUAUGUCCCCGGCAAUCUUUGGGACAUACUUCUACUAAGA